GAUGAAGAACGUAGCGAAAUGCGAUACUUGGUGUGAAUUGCAGAAUCCCGUGAACCAUCGAGUCUUUGAACGCAAGUUGCGCCCGAAGCCAUCAGGUUGAGGGCACGUCUGCCUGGGCGUCACAUAUCGUUGCUCGAUGCCUAUCGCAUUGCGAUAGGACUUAGGGCGAAUGAUGGCUUCCCGUGAGCGUUGUUGCCUCGCGGUUGGUUGAAAAUCGAGUCCUUGGUAGGGUGUGCCAUGAUAGAUGGUGGUCGAGUUAGCACGAGACCGAUCGUGUGCAUGCUCCCAAAAUAUGGCCUCUGUGACCCACACGCGUCUUUUGACGCUCAUGACGAGACCUCAGGUCAGGCGGGGCUACCCGCUGAAUUUAAGCAUAUCAAUAAGCGGAGGA
This 391-nucleotide unclassified non-coding RNA is filed under the name soil metagenome. RNAcentral's name for it is "partial contains 5.8S ribosomal RNA, internal transcribed spacer 2, and large subunit ribosomal RNA". The stretch from base 1 to 122 matches the Rfam family "5.8S ribosomal RNA", at positions 35 to 154 of the family's 154-position model. The record is from RNAcentral.